This 2490-nucleotide unclassified non-coding RNA is filed under the name Leishmania donovani. RNAcentral describes it as "gene:unknown". The record is from RNAcentral. Lineage: Eukaryota; Euglenozoa; Kinetoplastea; Trypanosomatida; Trypanosomatidae.
CAACUCCCAAAACUGUGCGCCAUGCAGGCCGCCGCCCCCGCAAUGUCCCCGCCUGCCGGCGCCAGUGCAUUGCCGCUGACGCUGCACGUGGCGCCGCGCGUGGAUCGGGCGACCAUAUACCAGAACAAGUCGCUGCAGCGCCGGUGCGCGCCUCUGUCGUUCAGCACACCGGUGAACGAGGUGCAGGUAAUGGUGCCGAUGCCAAAGAAAUUCGACGGGCAGUGCGGGUUCGAUGGCGACUCGGUGCAGGUGGAGUUCGGUGCCUCGUUUGACGGCAAAGUCAUCCUCGCCGGCGUGCUGGUGGAUGAGGUGGAACGCCGCUGCCUGCGCAGCGACGGGACGGUGGCAGUGGAGGCGACGCGGGCUGCAGAGGUGGCGAGCGCCAGCGACUCAGACGCGGACGGAGAAGGGGCAGGUGACACGUCAUCGGCGAACGCGCGUCGCAAGCUGGAGUCGCAGCUCCGUACGGUGAAGCAGAAGCUUCAACUCAACGAGAUUGCGCAAGCCGAGGCUGCCGCUGUGCGCGAUUACACUGUGGAUCGUGUAACGAGUGCGGUGGAGCCGUGCAAGGCCGCGCCGCUGAUGUGCACUGCUGCGCUGCAUGACCCGGAGAUGUGGGGCGCGCACCUCGACGCGUUGGAGAACGCAACGAGAGAGCACGCGAAGGCGAAGCGGGAGCUGCUGCGCGCCAAGGAGGCGCUCGAGGCUGAGAAGUCGGAGCUUGAGAUGAAGCUGUGCGUAGCCAACGGCGGGCAAAGCCCUCGCAGUGGCCGCAGCGAUGAAGCGGGGACGACAGUGGACGUGGUGGUGCUGACGCUCAAAGUUCUGAAGCCCGUUCCAGCCGGACCCGAGGCGGUGGUAUACGUGUCGUACAUGGUUCCGAGCGGCCGGUGGAACGCCGUGUACGAGGCGCACCUGAACACAGUGACGAACGAAGUGGUGCUGUACUACAACGCUGAAGUCGUUCUGAACUACGGUGAUGACUUGAAAGAUGUGUCAUUGACGCUAUCCUCCGCGGUUCCGAGACGGAAUGCUGCGUUACCGCCAGCCAUGACCAUCUGGCGCUGCGGCGUCGUGCAGCCGUCGCCGCCGACGCCCCAGUUCAUGAUGAGCCCAAACGCCGCCAUGGCCGACUGCGCGGACGACGGGAUCUGCUUUGCCUUGGCGGAGAGGGCGCCUGCCCGUUGCGCAGCGCCGAUGAUAAAGCGUGCCAUGGCGCAGGUGGAGCAGGCCGGUACCGGGGCCAUCAUGAACUUUGCCAUACCCAACCCGCAAACCGUGAUGGCGAACGGCAAGACGACGCGUCUUCCCUUGGCCGAGCUCCGGAUGCCUGCGGCGAUCAGCUACAUGAGCGUGCCCGAAAAGUCGCUGGCCGCCUUCACACACGCCAAGAUCACGAACACGAGCGACUUCUUGUUACUGCCCGGUGAGGUAGCCGUGUUCCUGGAUGGGAACUACGUUUUGCGGUCGCGUAUCGACAAGCAGUGCGCAUCAGGGAGUAAGUUGGACAUGUAUUUUGGUGCUGACCCAAGCGUGGAGAUAAAGCGAGUGCUGCUGCGUCAAGCAAACAAGGUGCAGAGCUCGUACUUGAAGGGAAAGAAGAACCAAGUGAAGACGUACGCGUACAGGAUUACGAUUCGUAACAAGAAACGUGCCACCGGCUCCGUAGACGGUGCCUUGCGCAUCAAGCUUGUGGAGCACAUUCCCAUCAGCAGUGAGGAGCUACUGCAGGUGCGGCUCGUUUCGCCAGCAAAGCCGCACGAAGACGUCUACAUUUACGACGAUGAGGAGGACAGGGUGGAACAGGAGCGGCGCAAGUUACGCCUGCUCAACAACGAAGGUAUUGUGGAGAUUGAGCGCAGGGUGCGUGCUGGCGAGAGCGUUGAGCUGGUUUUCGCGUUCGAAGUGGAGGCACCGAGCAACGCCACCAUAUACGGGCUGUGAGUCAGGGCCUCUCUAGCAGUUUAGUGCUUACGUGCCUGUAAGCACAUGCGCGGUGGCCUGGCAUACGGCGGAGAAAGAUAGGCUGUGAAAAUCAAAGCAAACCGCCGCGGCGACCAAGGUCCUUCUGGCCUCUGCCACGCCGCUAGUCAGCAUAGUGAGAUGACUUUCUGUAGUGUAACUCGCUUGAACUCCUCGUAGUAGCCGGGGAGAACAUAGCACGCGCACACGCACACUCGAGCAUGUGCAGGGGAUGCAACUACGUUGCCGGCGCCGUGUUCUCUGUUUCCUUUGCUCUUCUGGUGUUGAUACCGAGCAAUGCACACCCCAUCUUCCCACCGACCUGAGGCGGAUGCAGGCUGGUGUUUCGCUCUUCCUGCCCACUUCUUGCGUACAAACGUUUCUCCUCUUGCUGCGACACGUAAGAGUCGCAGCGGCGGGUUGGCAGGAGCUCCGUUCGCUGUCUUUGGUUUUUUUUGCGUUCGUUCCUCCCAUCUCUUGUGUCUCUUGUCUCUCACGUGUGUGCAUGUGUACGGACGCCUGCGCUAG